GAACGCACCUUGCGCCUCUUGGUAUUCCGAGAGGCAUGCCUGUUUGAGUGUCAUUAAAUUCUCAACUUCAAAAGCUUUGUCUUUUUGAAGCUUGGAUGUGAAGGCUUGCUGGCGUUUUAAAUGUUCAGCUCCUUUGAAAAGUAUUAGUGGACCCGUUUGUGUUCAUCCUUAGUGUGAUAAUUAUCUACGCUAUGGCUUUGAAUGCAUGCUCAUUAGAAUCUUCGAGCUGUUUUACUGCAGUCUUGGUGUGGAGAGUUGCAUGAAUUUGCUCUUUCUGUCUCUUGAGUCAGGAUUGUCUGCUUCAAACCGUCUACAUUGUAGACAAUUUUGAACCAUUUGACCUCAAAUCAGGUAGGAUUACCCGCUGAACUUAAG
RNAcentral lists this unclassified non-coding RNA (375 nucleotides) under Metacampanella tricolor. Its description in RNAcentral is "Marasmius tricolor sequence contains 5.8S rRNA gene". The stretch from base 1 to 53 matches the Rfam family "5.8S ribosomal RNA", at positions 102 to 154 of the family's 154-position model. Lineage: Eukaryota; Fungi; Basidiomycota; Agaricomycetes; Agaricales; Campanellaceae. The record is from RNAcentral.